This 237-nucleotide ribosomal RNA is filed under the name uncultured bacterium. RNAcentral's name for it is "partial 16S ribosomal RNA". It matches the Rfam family "Bacterial small subunit ribosomal RNA", at positions 15 to 245 of the family's 1533-position model. The record is from RNAcentral.
GAUCCUGGCUCAGGAUGAACGCUAGCUACAGGCUUAACACAUGCAAGUCGAGGGGCAGCAUUUCAGUUUGCUUGCAACUGGAGAUGGCGACCGGCGCACGGUGAGUAACACGUAUCCAACCUGCCGAUAACUCGGGGAUAGCCUUUCGAAAGAAAGAUUAAUACCCGAUGGUAUAAUCAGACCGCAUGGUCUUAGUUAUUAAAGAAUUUCGUAUCGAUGGGGAUGCGUUCCAUUAGG